CGCUCUCGUUUUUCUAUAACAAAAUGCUACAAAGUUCUGAAACCUGGUCUCUGCGUGGUGGUGAUCCAUAUAUAUUUUUUUGUUCCCCAGCAUACAUGAAAGCAGAACAGGAGAAGUAGCUAGGAAAGAUCAGCUAGAUGGAGGCACAAAGGAUGCAAACAAAUGAAAGCCAUCAUACAUCUCAGCAACAGAGAUCAAAAUAUCUUUAAGAUGGGAAAAAUAGGGGCCAAAAAGAAAAGGAUCAUGUAAAUAAACUGCGAGAUUAAGUAUAUUCCUCUGUGGUAUGUUUACAAGAACAAAUGACCAACAUUUUUAGAGAUCUUUCUCCCGGAGCAAAUAAUAAGAAGAUACAAAAGAAAAAAGCAAGGACUAACAAAAACUACGCUUUAUUCUCGCCAUUUCUCCUCGUAACUCUGAUGUAGCAAAAGAUGACGGCCAGGAUGGCAGUUACGAAACCUCCAAGUAUCACCUCUCCUCCUAUCGAUCCAUUAAACGAUCCGCUCUUCCUUAUUUGCUGCGGCUCCGGUCCACCGGCAAUUCCUGAUUCUCCAAUGUUCGUGGGAGCACCAGUAGAGGGUGGGGCUGCGAUGGUCGGAAUGGAGGGAAGAGGCCUGGCCAUUGCUAGCGUGGCAAGAAUACAAGCCCAAACCAAAAAUAAUAGAAGGAAGCGAGCCAUAUCGGAGACUUCAGACUCGAGAGAUGGGUAGUAGAGUGGUAGAACUAAUGGAAGCUUUAUAGAAGCCUAGCUGGAUGGCAAGGUGAGCUUAGAGAGAAAAAAAAAAUGUUCUAUAGUCAAUAGUUUUGAUCAAACAAAGCACGGACCAUUGUCUUUCUGGC
RNAcentral lists this long non-coding RNA (837 nucleotides) under Elaeis guineensis (African oil palm). RNAcentral's name for it is "long non-coding RNA (EGUI_LNC011090)". The record is from RNAcentral. Lineage: Eukaryota; Viridiplantae; Streptophyta; Magnoliopsida; Arecales; Arecaceae.